UACAGAGGGUGCGAGCGUUGUCCGGAAUCACUGGGCGUAAAGGGCGCGUAGGUGGUGGCUUAAGCGUGCGGUGAAAGCUCGGGGCUCAACUCCGGAGGGUCACUGGAAACCAUAAGUCUUGAAUCUGGAAGAGGAGAGUGGAAUUCCUGGUGUAGCGGUGAAAUGCGCAGAUAUCAGGAGGAACACCAACAGCGAAGGCAGAUCUCUGGGACGUUACUGACGCUGAGACGCGAAAGCGUGGGGAGCAAACAGG
This 253-nucleotide ribosomal RNA is filed under the name uncultured bacterium. Its description in RNAcentral is "partial 16S ribosomal RNA". It matches the Rfam family "Bacterial small subunit ribosomal RNA", at positions 524 to 776 of the family's 1533-position model. The record is from RNAcentral.